Molecule: unclassified non-coding RNA, 3422 nt
Filed under: Nilaparvata lugens (brown planthopper)
Lineage: Eukaryota; Metazoa; Arthropoda; Insecta; Hemiptera; Delphacidae
Description: serine/threonine-protein kinase NLK, transcript variant X2
Source: RNAcentral
CUAUGCAUGAUGGGAGAUGGGAGACAAGAAUCAGUUUAGUUCAGUUUUCUUUGUGCAGCCGAUUGCAGUGGAUGGAUUGUUGUUUAGUGUAGUGCAAUAAUCUAUUACGAUCGGCAUCUGUUAUUAUUUAGUGUUGGUGUCAAAACGAACAGUGUUUUAAAAUGCGUCACGCCCUACAGUGCUCGAAUUUCAAUCGUCAAUCGCGCCAGUGAAAAGAAUCGGUUACACAGAGGCCAGUGAACGACAUUUUCAACAACCAUUCUUCGACAAACGACAAGCCACACUGUUUCAAGCAGCACACUAUGAAAACCAGAACUCUAGCAGCCCCGACAAUAUUUAGCUGAUUGAUGUUCAGGGCCUUCCAUUUGGUCGGAAACUAUUAUUAUUUUGAUGCUUUCGUCCAAAUUCUCAAACGAUAUUGAUUGAUUUGAUACGGCACUCGCACCAGAUACAUCACAACAUUUAGGCCAAUCUUUCACUAAUUUACUGAAUGAAUACGCGUAAAUUCUUACACAAUACUCAAACUUCAUCACCUUAGCAACGUUCUUGUGAUAUUAUUCGUUAGAUUUAUGUCAGAAAUACUCAAUAUUCGUCACUUUAUUGUUUCAGUGUUCCGUGUAUGAUUAGAUCUAUGUUUCACACCUUUGUGUCAAUUUUUGUCUAACCUCAAAAUUAUCUGAUCGGUCUCUCAGUUCUAGUCGCUCCACCUGACCUAACCAAAUUUUUUUAAUGUUGAUGUUGAUCAUUUCUGGCUGUUAUUUGUGGCUGAAUGAGCUUGAUCGGAAUUUGUGACGGUGCAGUUUAGAAUGGCUGUUGUAGGGCCCAGUCGUCACUCAAGAGUGCCCGUUAGCAUGCCUUUAAUGCAGGGAACAGGAGCUGCUAGUUCGGCAGGACAUCAGCAGGCUAUUUUAGCAGCUGCGCAGCCCUACUAUCAUCCUCAGCAUGCUCAUCAAGCUCCGGCAGCUACUCCACAGAAUGUGCAGCCCGACAGACCCAUUGGAUAUGGAGCUUUCGGCGUUGUUUGGGCAGUGACAGACCCCCGUGAUGGCUGCCGAGUGGCCCUCAAAAAACUGCCCAAAGUUUUCCACUCACUCGUCUCAUCGAAGCGAGUUUUCCGGGAACUAAAAAUGCUCUGCUUCUUCAAACACGAAAACGUUCUCUCCGCCUUGGACAUUCUACAACCACCUCAUUUAGACUUCUUCCAGGAAAUUUACGUGAUUACUGAGCUGCUGCAAAGUGAUCUGCACAAAAUCAUCGUUUCGCCGCAACAUCUGUCUGCCGAUCACAUCAAGGUCUUUCUCUACCAAAUAUUGAGAGGUCUGAAGUACCUCCAUUCAGCCAGAAUCCUACACAGAGACAUCAAGCCAGGAAAUCUUUUGGUUAACAGCAAUUGUGUACUAAAGAUCUGCGACUUUGGCCUGGCCAGGGUGGAGGAGCCAGACCAAUGCAAAAAGAUGACCCAGGAGGUGGUGACCCAAUACUACAGGGCGCCCGAGAUCCUGAUGGGAGCUCGCCACUACAGCGCUGCCGUCGACGUGUGGAGUGUCGGCUGCAUUUUCGGCGAACUGCUCGGUCGGCGAAUUCUGUUUCAGGCGCAGAGUCCUGUGCAGCAGUUGGAGUUGAUCACCGACCUGCUGGGGACUCCGUCGCUGGACGACAUGCGUCACGCGUGUGAGGGCGCACGCACGCACAUGUUGCGUCAACGCGUCAAACCCCCCUCCCUCACUGCCCUCUACACGCUCUCAUCGCAGGCCACACACGAGGCCGUUCAUUUACUCUGUCAGAUGUUGGUGUUCGACCCGGACAAGCGCAUCACAGUGAUGGACGCCCUGGCGCACCCCUACCUGGACGAGGGCAGACUGCGCUACCACUCGUGCAUGUGCAAGUGCUGCUACACCAACUCGGCCAACAGUCUGCGUCAGUUUACGCCCGACUUCGAGCCCAAGACGCCGCACGCCUUCGACGACCUCUGGGAGAAGAAGCUCACCUCGGUGCAGCAGGUCAAAGAAGAGAUGUACAAGUUUAUAGUGGAGCAGCUGAACACCCGGCGCGUGCCACUGUGCAUCAACCCGCAGUCGGCCGCCUUUAAGAGUUUUGCCAGGUAAGGCAAUGGCUCAGGUCCACCUCUCAACACUUCCUCACUCACUCAUCAAACAAUCCCGUUCAACGGUGGCACACCCUCUGAGCUGCCCCCCUCGCCACACCAAUGGGAGUGACAUUUUCUACAGCCUAGGAUAUUGUUUCGACAGUUCAUUGGCUGAGCAAAAUAAAUGUAAAAAACGCAAACAAAAUGAAGAAACCCAACGAAAAAAAUAAAGACUUUCGAAAAAUUCGUGGAGACAUCUCUGUCUGCGAGACCUGAUCGCGACGUUAGUUUUUGUGUUGUAACACUUUAUUGUCAGACUUUUAUGUGUUUUUGUCACAAAUUUAUGUGUUGUGUCAUGAAUUUUUGUGUUUUGACACUUUGGAAACGUUAUGUUCCCCAGUUUUGGAGGACUAGUUGUUUGUUGUGUUCAAUGUAUUCUCUCAAAUAACUGAAACUGUAUGGAAUUGUUUUGAGUUACUAUCUCGAAGCUGGAACUUUUUACUAACUAGUUACUGUAGUUUUGAGUUUGUAUCUCAAAAUUGGAACGUUUUACUUUGAACUAGUUACUGUAUGGUAGUGUUUUGAGUUACUAUCUCAAAACUGGAACUCAUUAGUUCUCUAGAGUUACUCUAACUUUGAGUUACUCUCCCAAAACUGAAACGUUUUGAGUUACUCUCUCACAAGAACAUGUCUGUGUUUGUAAUUAAACUGAUGAAUUAUUUUGGUAUUCAGCUACUUAUUCAUGUAGUAGUUUGAAUUUGAUUGUAUCUAGUUUGUAUGUACAUUGAUUAUUUUAGGAGGGCUAAUAAUAUUGGAAGAGGUGGUAGAAAAGAAAAUGACUGUUAACGAAAUUUUUUCAAACAAAAGGCUGAUAGAAUUUGACUGCUAAAUUGAGUCGAUGCUCCUGAAAUUUGUUCGUAUUGCCUGGGCAGUACCGUUUAUGUUUUAGGUUAGGGUUUAUUUUUGUAAUUAUUUGUGGAAUGUUAGGUUAAGUUAGGUUGUCAGUGAUCAGUUGACACCAGUGUAUUUGUAAAAAACGGAUGGUUUAUGUAAUAUUUGUAACAACUAUUGUAAGUUUAUGAAUAUUAAUUGGUUUUAUUAAGAUGAUGGAGCAUAUUUUGUCUUCGCAUUGUUGACAAAAUAUUUUGAAAAGCUUUCAUUGAAUAAUUGUCGUGGGCUGCUUGGAAAAAUCAACAAUUUGAUGAACUUUGUAGCUCGAAAAUGUUGGCUACCUGCUGGAUGGGUACCUACCCAACAUCUGAGAACCAAUUUGAGUUUUUUCAAGCAUUUUGGCUCUUGUUAAUGAAAUAAUGUUUUUUUUAUGAUUCUUGAAGAU